Molecule: long non-coding RNA, 366 nt
Filed under: Lathyrus oleraceus (garden pea)
Lineage: Eukaryota; Viridiplantae; Streptophyta; Magnoliopsida; Fabales; Fabaceae
Description: Pisum sativum (pea) long non-coding RNA (PSAT_LNC002441)
Source: RNAcentral
ACAUUAGCAACCCAUUGAGGAUAAGAAGUAACCGCCAGAAAACCAGCAUCGAAUUGUUUCAUGACUUCGGCCUUGAUUUUCUCGGACAUUUCAGGACGCAUGCGACGAACCUUUUGCUUAACAGGACGACAAUCUUCCUUCGUCGGCAAACGAUGCACUACUAUAUCGGUAUCCAGCCCUGGCAUGUCUUCGUAAGACCAAGCAAAAAUCUCCACAUAGUCAUGUAGCAUUUGAAUCAAUCUUCUUUUGACACUGAUUUCCAAGCCUGCUCCUAUUUUGACUUCUCUCUUGUCCACCUCGGUACCCAGAUUUACAGUCUCAACUGACUCCUCAUGCGGCUGUAUAGUCCUUUCUUCUUGUAGUAAC